This 233-nucleotide ribosomal RNA is filed under the name uncultured Enterobacterales bacterium. RNAcentral describes it as "partial 16S ribosomal RNA". It matches the Rfam family "Bacterial small subunit ribosomal RNA", at positions 96 to 334 of the family's 1533-position model. The record is from RNAcentral. Lineage: Bacteria; Pseudomonadati; Pseudomonadota; Gammaproteobacteria; Enterobacterales.
UGGCGGACGGGUGAGUAAUGUCUGGGAAACUGCCUGAUGGAGGGGGAUAACUACUGGAAACGGUAGCUAAUACCGCAUAACGUCGCAAGACCAAAGAGGGGACCUUCGGGCCUCUUGCCAUCGGAUGUGCCCAGAUGGGAUUAGCUAGUAGGUGGGGUAACGGCUCACCUAGGCGACGAUCCCUAGCUGGCUGAGAGGAUGACCAGCCACACUGGAACUGAGACACGGUCCAG